ACUUUCCUCUGGAAGGUGGCUUGGCUUCCUCUGGUUACAGGUUCCACCCAGUGUGGAUGCAACCCUCCUCCUGGCUGCCUGCAAAGGAGACUCUCUUGCUGCUGCCUUGGGAUCAAGAUGGAGAACUCAGCUCCUUCACCAGCAUGAUGUCUGCCCGGAUGCUGCCAUGUUGAUGAUGGACUGAACCUCUGAAACUACUGGCUCACUUACCGUGCAUUGUGGCUGCAUCCAGGGCUCUCCGUCUACUUGCAUCGGCAGAAGCUUGUUAGUCCUAGAACCCCCAAACCAAAGAAACCACAGUGAGAUCCUCAGCGCUGGAGAACCAUCAUCACUCCCACCACAGAGGAAGAAGUGGGCAGACAUCACUUGCUCACUUAGAGGGGUUCACAGAGACUAUGGGAACUUCUAAAAAUAUAAUCUUUAACCCAUCUCAGGAACUGGACGUGGCUGGUCUGGGGCCAGGCCUAGCGACCUAUGCAUUCAUAGUUACCAUAGGCAUUUAUUUCUCUGGCUUCCGUCUUCAGACCUCACUUUGAGAAACUGCUGUGGGCAUACUGAGAGCCACAACCACCUGGAAAACUGGCCAGUAAACAUGGCAGCCCCACUGCUGAGCAGUCCCCCGAAGCCCAGAGACUAGCCAGAGGGAAAGCCCUCAUGCUGAGCUCCACUCUGGAGUAAGAAAAGACCUACCCUCCCCCAUUGAAUGAGUGGUCGAAACAUAUCUAAGUGUUAAUGUCUCUAAGCUAUAGAAGAUACCAUCAUAGGCACUCAACUCCCAGAAGCAGGCUACUCUGGGUUUGUAUGCACUGUGCUUUACUUGGAAAGUGACAUAGGAAUAGUGACUCCAAGUGUAAAGGGAGAGGUUGAGGGGAAAAUGUUGCUCUCUUGCUUGGGAAAGGCUCCUCUGGCAUGUGGGCUCUGUAGAACUUGUCUUUCGAUGCCCUGUAAGGAGGGCAGUCCUUUAGAGGCCUCUGGUCAAGGGCAUGUGAAUAGUCACCAGCUACCGGACAGGAAGCCUUUACCUGAGUUUGAUAGCUUCCCUAUUUUGAAAAUUACAAAACAAGAGGGGAAGGCACUAUUUCAAUACAAUAAUUCUCUGGUGAACUCUGACUAUAUUUCAUAAUAAAAGCAAGACAUUUAAUAAUAAAACCAAAAAUGAGC
Mus caroli (Ryukyu mouse) is the source of this 1161-nucleotide non-coding RNA. NCBI's taxonomy places the organism in Eukaryota, Metazoa, Chordata, Mammalia, Rodentia, Muridae. The record is from RefSeq and is a predicted model, not a curated record.